This 460-nucleotide ribosomal RNA is filed under the name uncultured bacterium. Its description in RNAcentral is "partial 16S ribosomal RNA". It matches the Rfam family "Bacterial small subunit ribosomal RNA", at positions 338 to 795 of the family's 1533-position model. The record is from RNAcentral.
CCUACGGGAGGCUGCAGUGAGGAAUAUUGGUCAAUGGACGAGAGUCUGAACCAGCCAAGUAGCGUGAAGGAUGGCUGCCCUAUGGGUUGUAAACUUCUUUUAUAUGGGAAUAAAAUGUUCCACGUGUGGGAUUUUGUAUGUACCAUAUGAAUAAGGAUCGGCUAACUCCGUGCCAGCAGCCGCGGUAAUACGGAGGAUCCGAGCGUUAUCCGGAUUUAUUGGGUUUAAAGGGAGCGUAGGUGGAUUGUUAAGUCAGUUGUGAAAGUUUGCGGCUCAACCGUAAAAUUGCAGUUGAAACUGGCAGUCUUGAGUACAGUAGAGGUGGGCGGAAUUCGUGGUGUAGCGGUGAAAUGCUUAGAUAUCACGAAGAACUCCGAUUGCGAAGGCAGUUCACUGGACUGCAACUGACACUGAGGCUCGAAAGUGUGGGUAUCAAACAGGAUUAGAUACCCUAGUAGUC